RNAcentral lists this transfer RNA (68 nucleotides) under Marmota marmota marmota (Alpine marmot). It matches the Rfam family "tRNA". From Rfam's summary of the family: Transfer RNA (tRNA) molecules are approximately 80 nucleotides in length. Their secondary structure includes four short double-helical elements and three loops (D, anti-codon, and T loops). The record is from Rfam by way of RNAcentral. RNAcentral also lists the same sequence under 1 other name. Lineage: Eukaryota; Metazoa; Chordata; Mammalia; Rodentia; Sciuridae.
GUGGUGGCUCAGUGGUAGAGCGCUUGGCCAGCACGUGUGAGGCCCUGGGUUCGAUUCUCAGCACCACA